RNAcentral lists this ribosomal RNA (826 nucleotides) under Trichomerium lapideum. RNAcentral's name for it is "eukaryotic LSU rRNA". It matches the Rfam family "Eukaryotic large subunit ribosomal RNA", at positions 86 to 931 of the family's 3401-position model. Lineage: Eukaryota; Fungi; Ascomycota; Eurotiomycetes; Chaetothyriales; Trichomeriaceae. The record is from RNAcentral.
ACGGCGAGUGAAGCGGCAACAGCUCAAAUUUGAAAUCUGGCCUCACGGUCCGAGUUGUAAUUUGUAGAGGAUGUUUUGGGCACCGCUCCGGGUUAAAUUUCUUGGAACAGAAUGUCAAAGAGGGUGAGAGUCCCGUCUUGGCCCGCGGUAGGACCUAUGUAAAACUCCUUCGACGAGUCGACUUGUUUGGGAAUGCAGGUCAAAAUGGGUGGUAAAUUUCAUCUAAAGCUAAAUAUUGGCCAGAGACCGAUAGCGCACAAGUAGAGUGAUCGAAAGAUGAAAAGCACUUUGAAAAGAGAGUUAAACAGUAUGUGAAAUUGUUGAAAGGGAAGCGCUGGCAACCAGACUCGAGCGCGGUGUUCCCCCUGGCUUCUGCCUGGGUUAUUUCACCGUGACCGGGCCAUCAUCAGUUUCGGGGGUUGGUUAAAGGUUCGGGGAAUGUACCCACUCCUUCGGGGGUGGACUUAUAGCCCCGGGCGUCAUGCAACCUCCCGGGACUGAGGAACGCGCUUCGGCGAGGAUGAUGGCGUAAUGGUUGUCAGCGACCCGUCUUGAAACACGGACCAAGGAGUCUAACAUCUAUGCGAGUGUUCGGGUGUCAAACCCUUGCGCGGAAUGAAAGUGAACGGAGGUAGGAAGGCUCACGCCUGCACUAUCGACCGAUCCUGAUGUCUUCGGAUGGAUUUGAGUAAGAGCAUAGCUGUUGGGACCCGAAAGAUGGUGAACUAUGCGUGAAUAGGGUGAAGCCAGAGGAAACUCUGGUGGAGGCUCGCAGCGGUUCUGACGUGCAAAUCGAUCGUCAAAUUUGCGUAUAGGGGCGAAAGAC